GACUGGACUAAGGGCUCCUACUCCCUCCAGAAGACUAUGGCCUCAACUGCUUUUUUUAAAGACACAGGCCUCCUGCUCUUCUUACUACUGGGACUGCAGCCAUCGUCAUUUGUUUCAGGACAAAACACAAACUCAAGUUCCAAUUCAACGACCAAUGCUUCAUCAACUGUGAUGUCAACUGGCAUGAGUACUGACUCUGCAGCAACUAUCGUGACAGCUACCACAGCUCAAACUACAAUGUCGUCUGCCAUUUCUUCUACGAAUACUACAAUGUCUUCUGCAGGGUUGGGUAGUGGAACCACAAGCACGGACAAUACCACUUCAUGGGGCACCAGUGGCAUGACCAUGAUAUCCUGUCGACAGUUCUCCUGUAACUACUCAGACUGCUACAAUGUGUACAUGAAUAUGACUUCUGUUUCAUGCAACGCUAAUAUCACCUUCUGUGAGCUGAAGAGACAGGAAGACAUGACUUACACCGGUGGCUGCAGUUCCUCCUGCAGUAAUGCCUGUGUCAACGACACUCAGACCAACUGUACCAUGGGAUGCUGCAACUCCACUGGCUGUCUUAGCUCUACCCUGGCCUCCAUUUUUGGCACAAACACUACAACAGUGACUACAGUGAUGAUGACCACCACCACCACAACAACAGCAGCAGCCACCACUACAACUGCUGAACCAACCAAUUCAAAGGAUACCAUAAUCUCUACCCUGGCCAUUGUCAAUGCACCUGUUGAUGCUCUGACCCAAGAGGAAUGGGAGGUGGUGGAGGGAGGUGUGCAGAGUCCUGGAACCCUUUGAGCAGGUCACUGUGGAGAUCAGUGGAGAGAGCUUAGUCCUGUGUAAGGGUCUGCAGCGAAUCACAACCAGCCGCCAGAGAGAAGCAAAUGUAACCACAGGACAUGUGACAUAGUUGAUUGACACCCAAUGUUCAUCAAUGAACAGAAAGUUCCACAGAAUGGAAUAUAAUCAUGUGCAAUCAGAAACCGCUGCACUUGACCCCAGGUUUAAGAAGUUAGCCUUCACUGAGCGAUUGAUGAGGCUCUUUAAAGAAUAACCUCAGCAGCAGGGAGGGACAGCCCCAGCAGUCAGCUGGCUCAGGC
This 1100-nucleotide long non-coding RNA is filed under the name Salmo salar (Atlantic salmon). Its description in RNAcentral is "lncRNA (ENSSSAG00000100320.1)". The record is from RNAcentral. Lineage: Eukaryota; Metazoa; Chordata; Actinopteri; Salmoniformes; Salmonidae.